AACGAACGCUGGCGGCAUGCCUAACACAUGCAAGUCGAACGAGACCUUCGGGUCUAGUGGCGCACGGGUGCGUAACGCGUGGGAACCUGCCCUUAGGUUCGGAAUAACUCCCCGAAAGGGGUGCUAAUACCGGAUAAUGUCUUCGGACCAAAGAUUUAUCGCCUUUGGAUGGGCCCGCGUUGGAUUAGCUAGUUGGUAGGGUAAAAGCCUACCAAGGCGACGAUCCAUAGCUGGUCUGAGAGGAUGAUCAGCCACACUGGGACUGAGACACGGCCCAGACUCCUACGGGAGGCAGCAGUGGGGAAUAUUGGACAAUGGGCGAAAGCCUGAUCCAGCAAUGCCGCGUGAGUGAUGAAGGCCUUAGGGUUGUAAAGCUCUUUUACCCGGGAUGAUAAUGACGGUACCGGGAGAAUAAGCUCCGGCUGACUCCGUG
Molecule: ribosomal RNA, 433 nt
Filed under: uncultured bacterium
Lineage: Bacteria
Description: partial 16S ribosomal RNA
Rfam family: Bacterial small subunit ribosomal RNA
Source: RNAcentral